AACGUCGGGUCCUCUCCGGCCUAACACAUGCAAGUCGAGCGAGACCUUCGGGUCUAGCGGCGGACGGGUUAGUAACGCGUGGGAACGUACCCUUCUCUGCGGAAUAGCCACUGGAAACGGUGAGUAAUACCGCAUACGCCCUUCGGGGGAAAGAUUUAUCGGAGAAGGAUCGGCCCGCGUUAGAUUAGAUAGUUGGUGGGGUAAUGGCCUACCAAGUCUACGAUCUAUAGCUGGUUUUAGAGGAUGAUCAGCAACACUGGGACUGAGACACGGCCCAGACUCCUACGGGAGGCAGCAGUGGGGAAUCUUAGACAAUGGGCGCAAGCCUGAUCUAGCCAUGCCGCGUGUGUGAUGAAGGUCUUAGGAUCGUAAAGCACUUUCGCCAGGGAUGAUAAUGACAGUACCUGGUAAAGAAACCCCGGCUAACUCCGUGCCAGCAGCCGCGGUAAUACGGAGGGGGUUAGCGUUGUUCGGAAUUACUGGGCGUAAAGCGUACGUAGGCGGAUCAGAAAGUAAGGGGUGAAAUCCCAGGGCUCAACCCUGGAACUGCCUCUUAAACUCCUGGUCUUGAGUUCGAGAGAGGUGAGUGGAAUUCCAAGUGUAGAGGUGAAAUUCGUAGAUAUUUGGAGGAACACCAGUGGCGAAGGCGGCUCACUGGCUCGAUACUGACGCUGAGGUACGAAAGUGUGGGGAGCAAACAGGAUUAGAUACCCUGGUAGUCCACACCGUAAACGAUGAAUGCCAGUCGUCGGGCAGUAUACUGUUCGGUGACACACCUAACGGAUUAAGCAUUCCGCCUGGGGAGUACGGU
This 811-nucleotide ribosomal RNA is filed under the name Sulfitobacter indolifex. RNAcentral describes it as "bacterial SSU rRNA". It matches the Rfam family "Bacterial small subunit ribosomal RNA", at positions 32 to 886 of the family's 1533-position model. Lineage: Bacteria; Pseudomonadati; Pseudomonadota; Alphaproteobacteria; Rhodobacterales; Roseobacteraceae. The record is from RNAcentral.